UAAUAAACUAAAACUUUCAACAACGGAUCUCUUGGUUCUGGCAUCGAUGAAGAACGCAGCGAAAUGCGAUAAGUAAUGUGAAUUGCAGAAUUCAGUGAAUCAUCGAAUCUUUGAACGCACAUUGCGCCCCUUGGUAUUCCGGGGGGCAUGCCUGUUCGAGCGUCAUUA
This 168-nucleotide ribosomal RNA is filed under the name Lasiodiplodia theobromae. Its description in RNAcentral is "5.8S ribosomal RNA". It matches the Rfam family "5.8S ribosomal RNA". From Rfam's summary of the family: 5.8S ribosomal RNA (5.8S rRNA) is a component of the large subunit of the eukaryotic ribosome. The record is from RNAcentral. Lineage: Eukaryota; Fungi; Ascomycota; Dothideomycetes; Botryosphaeriales; Botryosphaeriaceae.